This 76-nucleotide transfer RNA is filed under the name Verrucomicrobiota bacterium. Its description in RNAcentral is "Verrucomicrobia bacterium (groundwater metagenome) tRNA-His". It matches the Rfam family "tRNA". From Rfam's summary of the family: Transfer RNA (tRNA) molecules are approximately 80 nucleotides in length. Lineage: Bacteria; Pseudomonadati; Verrucomicrobiota. The record is from RNAcentral.
CAGGGCAGUGGUGUAACCAGCAGCAUCUCCGCCUGUGACGCGGACGGUUCGGGUGCGAAUCCCGACUCCCUGACCA